GAGUUUGAUCCUGGCUCAGAUUGAACGCUGGCGGCAUGCCUUACACAUGCAAGUCGAACGGCAGCGCGGGAGCAAUCCUGGCGGCGAGUGGCGAACGGGUGAGUAAUACAUCGGAACGUGCCCAAUCGUGGGGGAUAACGCAGCGAAAGCUGUGCUAAUACCGCAUACGAUCUACGGAUGAAAGCAGGGGAUCGCAAGACCUUGCGCGAAUGGAGCGGCCGAUGGCAGAUUAGGUAGUUGGUGGGGUAAGGGCUCACCAAGCCAACGAUCUGUAGCUGGUCUGAGAGGACGACCAGCCACACUGGGACUGAGACACGGCCCAGACUCCUACGGGAGGCAGCAGUGGGGAAUUUUGGACAAUGGGCGCAAGCCUGAUCCAGCCAUGCCGCGUGCAGGAUGAAGGCCUUCGGGUUGUAAACUGCUUUUGUUACGGAACGAAAGUACUCUUUCUAAUUAAAGAGGG
Molecule: ribosomal RNA, 463 nt
Filed under: uncultured beta proteobacterium
Lineage: Bacteria; Pseudomonadati; Pseudomonadota; Betaproteobacteria
Description: bacterial SSU rRNA
Rfam family: Bacterial small subunit ribosomal RNA
Source: RNAcentral